UGCCCAAUCCUAAGCCCUGCGAGGUCUUGUGGAACCGACAUGACCCACUCUUUGGUUUGUCCAGAGACAGUGAGCAGGUAAGAGUCUCUGCUGAAGUGGACCGGCUGAAGGUGACGUUUGAGGAUGCCACUGACUUUUUUGGCCGUGUGGUCAUCUACCACCUGCGGGUGCUUGGGGAGAAGGGGACAAACAGGGACCCUUGCAGAGACCUGCAUUACAGAGCAAAGCUGGGAGAACCGAGGACUCACCCCAGGAACCUCAACUUCCCCUAAGUUUGUAAAAAUGCACUUUUGUAGCUUUUCAGAAUUAAUAUAAAAAUAUUUCCUACCAAGCAAAA
Molecule: long non-coding RNA, 337 nt
Filed under: Homo sapiens (human)
Lineage: Eukaryota; Metazoa; Chordata; Mammalia; Primates; Hominidae
Description: non-protein coding lnc-NR2C2AP-1:1
Source: RNAcentral